This is a small nuclear RNA of Coregonus clupeaformis (lake whitefish), 168 nucleotides long. RefSeq annotates it as U1 spliceosomal RNA. The transcript has a single exon. Lineage: Eukaryota; Metazoa; Chordata; Actinopteri; Salmoniformes; Salmonidae. The record is from RefSeq and is a predicted model, not a curated record.
AUACUUACCUGGCAGGGCAGACACCUUGAUCAUGAAGUAGGUUCACCUAGGGAGUGGCUUGGCUACUGCACUCCGGCCGUAAUGACCGUUACAAAUUCUCCAAAUGUGGCAAUCUCCACUGCAUCAUUUGUGGUAGUCAGGGAAUAAAACUAGUUUAGAGAUUUCAGG